This 269-nucleotide ribosomal RNA is filed under the name uncultured prokaryote. Its description in RNAcentral is "partial 16S ribosomal RNA". It matches the Rfam family "Bacterial small subunit ribosomal RNA", at positions 524 to 792 of the family's 1533-position model. The record is from RNAcentral.
UACGGAGGAUGCGAGCGUUAUCCGGAUUUAUUGGGUUUAAAGGGUGCGCAGGCGGGAGAUUAAGUCGGCGGUGAAAUUUUGCAGCUCAACUGUAAAAGUGCCUUCGAAACUGGUUUCCUUGAGUGUAGAUGAAGUAGGCGGAAUUUGUGGUGUAGCGGUGAAAUGCAUAGAUAUCACGAGGAACUCCGAUUGCGCAGGCAGCUUACUAAACUACUACUGACGCUCAGGCACGAAGGCGUGGGGAUCAAACAGGAUUAGAUACCCCGGUA